GAAGUUUUCAGAGAUGAGAAUGUGCCUUCGGGAACCGUGAGACAGGUGCUGCAUGGCUGUCGUCAGCUCGUGUUGUGAAAUGUUGGGUUAAGUCCCGCAACGAGCGCAACCCUUAUCCUUUGUUGCCAGCGGUCCGGCCGGGAACUCAAAGGAGACUGCCAGUGAUAAACUGGAGGAAGGUGGGGAUGACGUCAAGUCAUCAUGGCCCUUACGACCAGGGCUACACACGUGCUACAAUGGCGCAUACAAAGAGAAGCGACCUCGCGAGAGCAAGCGGACCUCAUAAAGUGCGUCGUAGUCCGGAUUGGAGUCUGCAACUCGACUCCAUGAAGUCGGAAUCGCUAGUAAUCGUGGAUCAGAAUGCCACGGUGAAUACGUUCCCGGGCCUUGUACACACCGCCCGUCACACCAUGGGAGUGGGUUGCAAAAGAAG
This 433-nucleotide ribosomal RNA is filed under the name Escherichia coli. Its description in RNAcentral is "bacterial SSU rRNA". It matches the Rfam family "Bacterial small subunit ribosomal RNA", at positions 993 to 1426 of the family's 1533-position model. The record is from RNAcentral. Lineage: Bacteria; Pseudomonadati; Pseudomonadota; Gammaproteobacteria; Enterobacterales; Enterobacteriaceae.